GGAAACCGGAGCUAAUACCGGAUAAUAUUUUGAACCGCAUGGUUCAAAAGUAAAAGACGGUCUUGCUGUCACUUAUAGAUGGAUCCGCGCUGCAUUAGCUAGUUGGUAAGGUAACGGCUUACCAAGGCAACGAUGCAUAGCCGACCUGAGAGGGUGAUCGGCCACACUGGAACUGAGACACGGUCCAGACUCCUACGGGAGGCAGCAGUAGGGAAUCUUCCGCAAUGGGCGAAAGCCUGACGGAGCAACGCCGCGUGAGUGAUGAAGGUCUUCGGAUCGUAAAACUCUGUUAUUAGGGAAGAACAUAUGUGUAAGUAACUGUGCACAUCUUGACGGUACCUAAUCAGAAAGCCACGGCUAACUACGUGCCAGCAGCCGCGGUAAUACGUAGGUGGCAAGCGUUAUCCGGAAUUAUUGGGCGUAAAGCGCGCGUAGGCGGUUUUUUAAGUCUGAUGUGAAAGCCCACGGCUCAACCGUGGAGGGUCAUUGGAAACUGGAAAACUUGAGUGCAGAAGAGGAAAGUGGAAUUCCAUGUGUAGCGGUGAAAUGCGCAGAGAUAUGGAGGAACACCAGUGGCGAAGGCGACUUUCUGGUCUGUAA
RNAcentral lists this ribosomal RNA (600 nucleotides) under Staphylococcus aureus. RNAcentral describes it as "bacterial SSU rRNA". It matches the Rfam family "Bacterial small subunit ribosomal RNA", at positions 152 to 739 of the family's 1533-position model. Lineage: Bacteria; Bacillati; Bacillota; Bacilli; Caryophanales; Staphylococcaceae. The record is from RNAcentral.